This 465-nucleotide ribosomal RNA is filed under the name uncultured Klebsiella sp. RNAcentral's name for it is "bacterial SSU rRNA". It matches the Rfam family "Bacterial small subunit ribosomal RNA", at positions 338 to 795 of the family's 1533-position model. Lineage: Bacteria; Pseudomonadati; Pseudomonadota; Gammaproteobacteria; Enterobacterales; Enterobacteriaceae. The record is from RNAcentral.
CCUACGGGGGGCUGCAGUGGGGAAUAUUGCACAAUGGGCGCAAGCCUGAUGCAGCCAUGUCGCGUGUGUGAAGAAGGCCUUCGGGUUGUAAAGCACUUUCAGCGGGGAGGAAGGCGGUGAGGUUAAUAACCUCAUCGAUUGACGUUACCCGCAGAAGAAGCACCGGCUAACUCCGUGCCAGCAGCCGCGGUAAUACGGAGGGUGCAAGCGUUAAUCGGAAUUACUGGGCGUAAAGCGCACGCAGGCGGUCUGUCAAGUCGGAUGUGAAAUCCCCGGGCUCAACCUGGGAACUGCACUCGAAACUGGCAGGCUAGAGUCUUGUAGAGGGGGGUAGAAUUCCAGGUGUAGCGGUGAAAUGCGUAGAGAUCUGGAGGAAUACCGGUGGCGAAGGCGGCCCCCUGGACAAAGACUGGCGCUCAGGUGCGAAAGCGUGGGGAGCAAACAGGAUUAGAUACCCUUGUAGUC